CAAGGGCCAACAAGUAUUCCUCCCAGACGACAAAAAUUCUUUCUUUCACCCUCCUACGAUUCCAGAUCCAAUCUCUCUCUUUCUCUUAAAAAAGGAAGAACCCCAGUGCGGUUGUCUGUGGCGGUGGUGGUGGUUGUUGUUGUGGAUGGCAAGGACCAACAAGUAUUCCUCCGUUAACUUUAACCAUAUCUAUGACAGAAACUUAACCAACAACGCUACUCCUAAUACCGCAAACAACACAUCAAAACAGCCUUCCUCUUCUUCUUCGUCCUCGUCGUCUUCUUCUGCUCUUUAUUCUGCUAUAUCUUCUCCCAAUACUUACAAAAACCAUCUUUCUUCUUCCCGCUCCCAUGGCCGUAUGCUGGUUCUGACCCGUCCUACUCCCAAACCCGUUUCAGCUAUUGCCACCCAGUCCUCUCUUUCACCUUCUUCGCAAAUACCAUCGACCCAACAACCUCGAGCGCCUAUUUCGGAUCAAGCGCCUUCUGAACCGGAAUCGGACCUGAUUUCUCUCCGUCCCUUGGGUCGGACAGGGGCCGCUCCGUUUGUUUCUUCUUCGGUAUUGGUACCGGAGAAAGAGAAGGAGGUGGGGCCCUUGGUAGGAUCGCCAAAGCCAGACAAGUUCGUGCCACCGCAUCUCAGACCGGGUUUUGUGGGGAGGGAGGAGAGGCCUGGGCCGGAGGUUUUUAGGGGGAAGGAGGCGAAUCAGAGGCCGCCGCAGCAGCAACAAGAUUAUUUUGUGUCUAAGGGUGAGUAUGGGGUUGAUGGAAGGCCUAAAUCUGGUGGUUAUGAGAGGAUGAUGGGAGGUGGCGAGUCAGAUCUGGGUUUGAUGAAUCGUCCCAGAUCUAGUGGGAACCGCCCCAGUUCAAGUGGAUGGUAUGGUUCUUGCCAAUCUAAUCCAAUUCAUUUAUGCUUUAGAUUUGAUCAAUUUUUGUUAGUUUAUGUUACUGUGUCUAGUUUACUUGAAGCUUAUAGUGUAGGUCUUAUUAUUUUGUUCAUGCUAUUCUAGUAUUCUAUUCUCUAUUCUUAAUUUUUGAUGAUUCAUCUUUUCUGGGAUUUUUAUUUGAUGAGCAUUAUUAUUUGCAGCCUUUCUAAUAAGAUUUUUUAUUUGUUAGUGGCAAUUAUCACAAAUAUGUAGGGUCAAUAUUAGAAAAGGGGGAAAAAGGGUAAGCUAUUUAUGUCUGGAGUAGCUUAUGAAGCUUAAGUUGUUGGUAUAAAAAAGUGUCCACAUCUCAAUCAUUGAUGUCUGGAAACAAUUUUGGGGAAGAUGCUCAAUCUUGCAAAACCACUUCAUUUCUGUUUUAUUCCUCCAUGUGUUCUGCUGCCUCUAAAAUUUUGCAAAAUCUUUGAAGGCCUAUUGUUGUUGAAAGCUUCUUAAGGCCUCUCCCCUAUUUAAACAAAUAUAUCUGCGCAUGCACACAUAUUGCAUUUGAAAGUGGAUUGAUGGCUAUGGGAGUUUGCCUAGUGACAUGGAGAUGUUAAAUUAAAGUUGGCACAUUUGAAAAUUUUAUGAGGAAGUGUGGCUUUUUAUCUUGGGAUUGUGACAUCUUGUUUAGGUCUUACACAAGACAAUAAAUAUUUUAAUGAGGGUAGCAAUUACCAGAGCUGUUUGAGGUUUUUGUUUGUGGUGGAUGGUGCCUUGGAUUAACCGACUAACAAGAGAAAAUGGAUUGCACUUAACAUUAACUGUCUUUCUGCAUUGUGUUCUUUGUGCUAUUUGCAUUUGGUUGUAACGUUCCAGAGUAUGCUGUUAUUGCCCACAACCACAAGAUCAAUUGCUAAUAGUUUUUAGAUUAUAAUUUGGUUUUUGUACAAGGCAUUACUUAUAAGAUGAAAAUUGCCUUGAGUUUCAAUGAGAAAUGGUUCAGAUUGUAUACAGGGGUUGGCUGUUUUAGACUUGCAGUUGAAAUUUUGAGGAAUUUCUCAAGUCUGUUGACCUUUUGAGCAAUGUUCUAGUGGCCGUAGUAUAUUAUCAUCUGGUUGUAAUAAUUCAAGUAAGUUAUUAUCCUUGAUAUUGAGUUAUUUGGUGAUUGAGUGUAUUAUGCUGGAGAGAGAUAGGCUGAAGGGUAGUUAUACAAACCUGCAAUUAGAGUAGUUACUCUAGAGUUGGAAGCUGGUAAUUAACAGAUAAUGUCCAUUAAAUGAGCUUAGCUGAAAUUAAAAAGGUUAAGAUAGCUGUGCGGGAAUAAGAAAAUAUAGAUAAGAAAAGAAUGUAUCUUAAGAAGAUGGAAGAGGCACCCAUUGAGUGUAAGUUGAGGAUGAUUUGGUUGAGAAGGUCUUUUUUUUUAUUUUUUUAUUUUUU
Molecule: unclassified non-coding RNA, 2302 nt
Filed under: Hevea brasiliensis (rubber tree)
Lineage: Eukaryota; Viridiplantae; Streptophyta; Magnoliopsida; Malpighiales; Euphorbiaceae
Source: RNAcentral